UACGUAGGGUGCGAGCGUUGUCCGGAAUUAUUGGGCGUAAAGAGCUCGUAGGCGGUUUGUCACGUCUGCUGUGAAAUCCCGAGGCUCAACCUCGGGCCUGCAGUGGGUACGGGCAGACUGGAGUGCGGUAGGGGAGAAUGGAAUUCCUGGUGUAGCGGUGAAAUGCGCAGAUAUCAGGAGGAACACCGAUGGCGAAGGCAGGUCUCUGGGCCAUAACUGACGCUGAGAAGCGAAAGCAUGGGGAGCAAACGGG
This 253-nucleotide ribosomal RNA is filed under the name uncultured bacterium. Its description in RNAcentral is "partial 16S ribosomal RNA". It matches the Rfam family "Bacterial small subunit ribosomal RNA", at positions 524 to 776 of the family's 1533-position model. The record is from RNAcentral.